ACUCUGAUGCAUUGAUGCCGCGUGAGUGAAGAAGGCUUUGGGUUGUAAAGCUCUUUUGUAGGGGAAGAUAAUGACUGUACCCUAAGAAUAAGGUCCGGCUAACUUCGUGCCAGCAGCCGCGGUAAUACGAAGGGACCUAGCGUAGUUCGGAAUUACUGGGCGUAAAGCGCGCGUAGGCCGUUGAGUUAGUUAAUUGUGAAAUCCCAAAGCUUAACUUUGGAACUGCAAUUAAAACUGCUCGACUAGAGUUUGAUAGAGGAAAGCGGAAUACAUAGUGUAGAGGUGAAAUUCGUAGAUAUUAUGUAGAACACCAGUUGCGAAGGCGNGCUUU
This 331-nucleotide ribosomal RNA is filed under the name uncultured bacterium. RNAcentral's name for it is "bacterial SSU rRNA". It matches the Rfam family "Bacterial small subunit ribosomal RNA", at positions 380 to 728 of the family's 1533-position model. The record is from RNAcentral.